GCCGGGGUAGCCUAGCCUGGGAAGGCGCGGGACUCGAGAUCCCGUGGGCGUCUGCCCACCAGGGUUCAAAUCCCUGCCCCGGCGCCA
Molecule: transfer RNA, 87 nt
Filed under: Thermococcus peptonophilus
Lineage: Archaea; Methanobacteriati; Methanobacteriota; Thermococci; Thermococcales; Thermococcaceae
Description: tRNA-Ser
Rfam family: tRNA
About the family: Transfer RNA (tRNA) molecules are approximately 80 nucleotides in length. Their secondary structure includes four short double-helical elements and three loops (D, anti-codon, and T loops).
Source: RNAcentral